This 634-nucleotide ribosomal RNA is filed under the name Streptomyces mirabilis. RNAcentral describes it as "bacterial SSU rRNA". It matches the Rfam family "Bacterial small subunit ribosomal RNA", at positions 179 to 827 of the family's 1533-position model. The record is from RNAcentral. Lineage: Bacteria; Bacillati; Actinomycetota; Actinomycetes; Kitasatosporales; Streptomycetaceae.
CCUGCCUGGGCAUCUGGGUGGGUUGAAAGCUCCGGCGGUGAAGGAUGAGCCCGCGGCCUAUCAGCUUGUUGGUGAGGUAGUGGCUCACCAAGGCGACGACGGGUAGCCGGCCUGAGAGGGCGACCGGCCACACUGGGACUGAGACACGGCCCAGACUCCUACGGGAGGCAGCAGUGGGGAAUAUUGCACAAUGGGCGAAAGCCUGAUGCAGCGACGCCGCGUGAGGGAUGACGGCCUUCGGGUUGUAAACCUCUUUCAGCAGGGAAGAAGCGAGAGUGACGGUACCUGCAGAAGAAGCGCCGGCUAACUACGUGCCAGCAGCCGCGGUAAUACGUAGGGCGCAAGCGUUGUCCGGAAUUAUUGGGCGUAAAGAGCUCGUAGGCGGCUUGUCACGUCGGGUGUGAAAGACCGGGGCUUAACCCCGGUUCUGCAUUCGAUACGGGCUAGCUAGAGUGUGGUAGGGGAGAUCGGAAUUCCUGGUGUAGCGGUGAAAUGCGCAGAUAUCAGGAGGAACACCGGUGGCGAAGGCGGAUCUCUGGGCCAUUACUGACGCUGAGGAGCGAAAGCGUGGGGAGCGAACAGGAUUAGAUACCCUGGUAGUCCACGCCGUAAACGGUGGGAACUAGGUGUUGGC